This is a long non-coding RNA of Camelus dromedarius (Arabian camel), 5680 nucleotides long. RefSeq lists it as uncharacterized. The transcript is spliced from 2 exons. The record is from RefSeq and is a predicted model, not a curated record. NCBI's taxonomy places the organism in Eukaryota, Metazoa, Chordata, Mammalia, Artiodactyla, Camelidae.
UAGUUGCAAUUCUCUGUAAGUCCCUUGGCUCUGGGCAAGGAAGGGGGGGAGCGGUGGCAAGGGGACAGGGGAGGGGCUAAGGAGGGGGAUCUCUUUGCCCCCUCACCCUCCCUCUCUGCCUUGUCUAGGCCCUGAGUGUCACCCCAGAAGGGGCUGAGGGAAUGUUGUGGGUUGGGACACACGGGGGAAGACGCAUACUGGAGGAAGCGAGAGACGUCGCCAGGGACCCAGGGCUCUCUCCUUCCAGUUCCCUGAGCCCCGCGGCCCCGCUGGCCACUCCCUCUAUAGCGCCCAACCUGCCCCGGGCAGCCUGACCCGGUAACCCGAUCGCUCCUCUCUCCGGAUCACUGCUGCGGCCCCCACUUUGGGGCACAUGCACCCGAGUCCUGCUUCCCAGGGCGAGCUCUGAAUCAGGCGCCUGCGCUCUCCAGGGCGCCCUCCCCACCCCGACGGUGGAGUUUGCGCCCCUCCUGAGACAGUUUGAGAGAAGGACAAACUUUUGAGUGGAGAAAAAUGAAGAGGAGCCCACCCGGAGCAGGACUGAUUACACAUGUUGAAAACCCCGGCCAGGUCCUGAACCUGCUCACCCAACAAGCUCUCAGAAACGCUUGGAGAUCCCCGAAGGGCUUUCGCGGGGGAAGCGGGAGAAGCACUAGCCGAAAAUAGUAGUUUUCAACUCUGCGGGGAAAGGAGCGGGGUAUCGCCACAGAGCCUCAGCCCGGGACCUUCUACAGCCCCUGCUGCCCCGGGAUCUUCUGCUGAUUUUAAGUUAGGAGUGACAUAAGAGAAGAAACAACUCCCAAAUUUCUUCCUCUUCUUUUCCUUUUAAUUCCAAUUUGACUCAGAGACCCAUUUCCCUAAAUUGGAAUCAAGGGAGGUCUCCUCCCCACCCCCCAGCACAACCACCUCCCUACUUUCUCCAGCUCACGCAGGAAGGCAGGGAAAAGAGCCUCCUACCCCCCCUACCCCAUGCCCCCACCCCGUCUCGUGGCUGAGAUAACCCACCCCAACCUCAAAGAGAAGUCCUGGGAGGAAGAAACGGAGGAGGCUCUUCAAAAGGGAGUCAAGGACAAAGGGUGGGUUCAGAGGGCUUGACUGAACUUGGGGGCCCCAGGUGGAAAGCUGGGGGAGCGGGCACGCCAGGGAACCGGGGCUGGCCUGCAUGGUCUGGGAAAGAGGGCGAGCAUGCAGGCCGCGGCAGGUGCACUGGCAGAGCCAGGGGAAAUCUGGAGUCCCGUGGGGUUCCCGAAAGGGGAGGCCUGGCAUGGGUGGAGGGUCUCUGUAGCGCCUGAGGUUUGCGGAUCUGACUUGGGGAGCGGGACAGAAGGCAGCCGUUGCACUUGGACCACUUCUCAGAAGGACCGGGAGGGGCAGUGGAUCCCAGGAGGGAAAAUUCCCACAGUGAUCGCCUGGUGUUUCUGGCCUGCAUCUCAGAAGCGCCCAAAUCACGCAGGCCUUUGUUUUCCCUGCAAAUAAUCCAGGGGCUGGCCUGGCACCUGCUCGUGAGGGAGAUCUGCAACUGGGCCCACCUAGCUGAGAGGUCCAGGAGGGCCCCAGGCGGCACUGCCUAGCGGUCUCUGGGAGCAUGGGCCUUGGGAGGGACAUGUCCAGAGGCAGGCGUGAAGGCAACUGACACUCAAAUCUACACCCUUUUCUUUCCUCGCAUCCUGUGGCCCUGUGCACCUCUCCAGCGCAGAGGAGUUGGAUGGAAGAGGUCGUCCUGCCCCAAUCCCCAAAUUAACACGGGAGCCCGCUGGGGCUUCUUUUGUGGGCCCCCCCCCCCAGCUCUGGGUGCACGAAGAGCGGGCCCCUGGCUCUGGACUUCGCCUCUCCCUCUUUGAUGAAUCCAGUCUUUUUUGCCCCCAACUCCCCAACACGCACCCCCCCCACACACACACACACAUACACUUUGUGGAGCUGUCUCUCUUUUACUCUUUUCUUCUCUUCCUCUUUCCCUUUUACUAGGAUUGAUGGAGUGACAACAGUUUGGCAAGCGUCCCCUAAGCCUGUAGUGGGCAGCUGUGGACCCAGCCCUGACUUCUCAACUAGGGAGGAACAGCCUCAUUCCUGGGCCCUUGAAAUUGACCCCUACGUGGAGGGAAGUUGAGAGAGAAUGGCAUGAAGGUGGCUAGGCUGACAAAGGACAGAAGCCCUGAUCUGGGGAGGGGGCAGUUUUACGCCAUAUGCCUGUUGCAGAGAGAGAAUUUAGAAACAAAAGGAGAUGGAAAGGAGGUCGGGGAAACAGCACAAAGGACUGAAAAAUCAAGAGCAACAAAGAGAAAAGACUGGUGAGGGAAGAAAAUACUUGAGAAUGCCCCAGUGCUGGGGGCAGAGAAAGGGACCCAGGAGGGAGGCAGGGGAGACAGAUGAAAUAGAGGAAUAUUGAUAAAGGACAGAAUGAAGCAGCAAGAUUAGUUUGUUGUAUGAGAGAAAAAAGCAGAAAGGAAGGAAAGAGAGAGAAAGAAAAGAAAAGAAAAAGAAAGAGAAAGAAGAAAAGAAAGAAGGAAAAUAGGAAAAGAAAAAGUAAAUGAAGGGGAGAAAGAGAGAGAUGGGUGGGAAAGGAGGAAAGCUAGGAAUAAAGAAGGAAGGAAAAGUAAAGGAAGGGAAGACUAGAGAGAAAAAAAGUGGAGGGAGGACAGGAAGAAAGCAAACGAAGGAAGGAAAAAUGAGAGAUAAAUAUAGAGAGAGGGAAAAAAAGAAAGAAAACAAGGAGGGAACCGGGUUAACAGAAAAGGGGUCCAGACUCCUGAGGAGCAGCGGGAGGGAAGGAGCCAGGAGGAGGGUUAGUGGAGGCUUCAGCAGGGGCUCCCAAGUACCCAGGCUGUGCGGACCCUGGCCUCCCACCACAGCCCCACUGCCCCCGCCCCGCCCCAGUGCCCACCCCAGGCGGCUGCAGCCGGCACCACAGGGGAGGUGGAGGCAGAGGCCAGCCUCUUGAGACUCGCUUCUCCCUGACGUUGCCCAAGCAGCUGAAGAAGUAGCCGAUAGAGUAGCAGGAGUUCCUCCGGCACUCACACCUGCCCGAAGUGGGCCUUAAGGCUCCGCAGGUCAAGAACUGGUUCCAGAAGCAGUGUUAGAAGCAGAAGGAACAGUUUAGAGAGGGGCGGAUCUCUCAUCCCACCCUGGCUCAGUCUCCUGAGCUGCCUCCCCUCUGACCCUGCUGGCCGAGGCUGUCUGUGGACCGGGCCGCUUUGUACUGCCAUGCUCUGGCUCUGCGAUCUUGGCCCUCGGUUGGGUCUCUCUGUCAAAUGAGCCCUUUGCACUGGAGGGUUCUUGUGUCACUUUGGUUAGCCCGCCUGUAUAUGUGCAGGUGAGAGAGGGGUGAAGAUAAGGCCUGGUCCAUUCUGGGAAGGGCAUCUUCAUUUUCUUCUUUGGUGAGAAGGAAAAUCUUCCUCCUUUGCCAUCUUUAUCACCAUCCCUGGCUCAGAAAACUACCUUCCAGAACAGGGGAUUUCUCCAGGCCAGAAGCGGUUGAAUUAAUCUGUAAAGGGUUUGGUGUGAGGUUUGCAGAUGCUAGAGGAGCCAGAGGAAACAUCUUACUCUGGGAAGAGACUGAGGACAUGCCUUCCUAGAGCAAGCGGACGUUAGGUCUGCAGUGUAUUUCACACACACACACAGUUUAGUUGGCAAAAUGGCUUUAGAGUCAGCCUGUGGAGAUUAAGCGGAGGUGGCUGUAUGUCUGCAGCCUCCUGGGCCGGUGCUCCCACACCCUGUCCGUGUGCUCCAGCGGCAACCGCUCAGUUAAACCCAGUUAGAUGACUCCUUUGUUUCCCCAAAGUGGGUUGGAGCAGGUCACGGAGGUCAGCAUGUCUUCCAAGGGCAGCGUAAGCCUUGAGGGUGGGCUGGAGGACCCUGAAACCAGCGGCUGGAAAACCGCGUCCCCAGUAAUCUUUGCAGUACAUCUCAGGGAGGCCCCCGCCUGGUACUUCCAGCGUGGAUUUUAGCUUUUCUCCCGUUUCUCAAGCUGCCUCUUUCCUUCCUUUAUCUUUCUUUCUCCACCCCCACCCUCCACCUCUUGCUCCCUUCCUUCCUUCUCCUUGUUCUUUCCUUGUCUGUCUCUCGCUCUCUUUCCCUUUUCAUCUAGUCCAGGCUGCGGCUCCGGUACUGCCUUCGCACCCAAAGGCUUUGCUCUGAGAUCUUCAGAUAAGUGAAAACGUGCCUUGUCCUCAGGAGUUCAUUACCUGGAUACAAAUAUGGGGAUUGGAAGGUGAGAGGCAAAAUGGGGAGUAAGCUUUGCUGAUCGAGUACCGGGUGAAUCAACUCAUUUUCUGUAUCAAUCACGGUUAAUGCCGUCACAUCCCUGUGGCUUACCCCAGAAACCCUUCCCCAUCUCGCCCUACUGCAGGCCACAGUCAGUCUGCCUCUGCUCAUAGGGAUGGCAUUACUGGUGCCCCCAAGGUCGUUGCUCUCCUGGAGUGACUGAGGGCCUACAAUGAGAGCUCACCUCGGUGCAGGUGGGAUGAGGUCAAUGAUGCCAGGUCAGAGCCUCAAACUGUUAAAUAAGCAAAGCCUAUUUCCCUAUUCCCAAUGGGGUCCUUUAGGGGUCCUUUUUCCCUUGGAUGGAGAAGCUGGUGGAUUCUGGCUCUUGACCAUCUCUCUAAGGAGUGCCCCUGAUUAGCUGGGCCCACCUCCACCCCCCAUCUGCUCAGCAUAGAAGGGAGGCCACUCACUCCAGGCCUUGGAGGGGAUGCAGACUGUCUGCCCAGAGCAGCUUCCUGACCCCAUCCUGGCCCCUGCUGGGAAGGAGGGAACCCAAUUCACAGGACCCGGAAUCUCGAAACUCCACACAGACGAGCCGACCGCUGGGGCUGUAUCCUGGAGCCUGAUGCCGGAAGCAGCUUCUGCCUUUGGCUUCUCCUUGCUGCCUCAGCCUCUGCUCUGUUCAGCUGGCUAUUGUGUUUUUCUCUCUCUCAUUUAGGGGUGUUGGGGACAGGGAAGUGAAAUGUUUCUCUUCAUGCCCCUAGUCCUUCCCCAUGCCCCCACCAAACCUCAAAGCUGCAGAUAAUAAUGGACUGCAGCUUCCCGCCCUGCUCAGAAGCUACUCAAAGAGAAUUCAGAUUCUCUUCUGGGCAGGAGGAAGGACAGAUGCUCCUUCCUCAAUCCUCCCUUGCUCAUUGAUCCAUUUGAAGGGCAUGUGUGGGUCAAGAUUGAGACUGGAUGGCUUCAGUUGGUAUAAAAUUAGCAUUUUUAUCACACCAAAGGCUGAGAUUUCUCAAAUCAAGGAAUAGGAGGGUUUCCGCCGGACCCAUGCCUUUUCUCUGGCCUCUCAAACCACUAAUGGUGUAAAGGUUUGUUGAAGUGGAGGAAGAGAAGGGAAAUGAGCAGUUUGCUCUAUCGAGAAAUCAGUAGCCAGCAGGAGGGUAUAGCUCAGUGGUAGAGUGUGUGCCUAGCAGGCAGGAGGUCAUGGGUUCAAUCCCCAGUACCUCCAUUAAAAUAAAUAAAUAAAUAAACAAACAAACAAACAAAUAAAUCUAAUUACCUCUCCAGCCCCCUCAAAUAAAAUCAAUUUAAAAAUUAAGAAGUCAGUAGCUUCCACUGUUCAUUCCACUGAUGUUUAUUUAGUACCUGCUAUGUGCAAACACUGUCCCUACCUCAGUUUGUCAUGACGAUCAGUAAUGAGAUUUUUGCUUCAGUGUGUGUGGACAAAUAUAUGUAAAUAAACAAAUCAAUGGAAAAGAAA